AAAGGGAAAGAACAAAGAGAAGAAAGCAACUAGGAAACUCCUGGAUUACUACACGAUGAUCUGCUGCAUCUUUUGGUUGAUUAUGGGAAACCACCCAAUUCAUCAGGACUUUUCAUCUAAAAACUAGCAGUGAAUGUUCCCAGCCUGUGCCCUUGCCCCACCUCCCAGCUCGUGGACGGUGAGGGAGACGGUCGGUGUGUGUGACGUGACCAAUCCUCGGCAGCUGCAGUUCUUCUCCAUCGGCAGCACUGGUUGAGGCCGUGAAAUCCCCCAGGUUGGCAGAGCUGGGGGACCGCGUGGCUCUGGACAGAAUGGCCCGGCUGGGUCACUGUUACAGCACUU
Molecule: long non-coding RNA, 342 nt
Organism: Fukomys damarensis (Damara mole-rat)
Lineage: Eukaryota; Metazoa; Chordata; Mammalia; Rodentia; Bathyergidae
Exons: 3
Source: RefSeq, a predicted model, not a curated record